GACGAACGCUGGCGGCGUGCUUAACACAUGCAAGUCGAACGGAAAGGCCCUGCUUUUGUGGGGUGCUCGAGUGGCGAACGGGUGAGUAACACGUGAGUAACCUGCCCUUGACUUUGGGAUAACUUCAGGAAACUGGGGCUAAUACCGGAUAGGAGCUCCUGCUGCAUGGUGGGGGUUGGAAAGUUUCGGCGGUUGGGGAUGGACUCGCGGCUUAUCAGCUUGUUGGUGGGGUAGUGGCUUACCAAGGCUUUGACGGGUAGCCGGCCUGAGAGGGUGACCGGCCACAUUGGGACUGAGAUAGGGCCAAGACUCCUAGGGGAGGCAGCAGUGGGGAAUAUUGCACAAUGGGCGGAAGCCUGAUGCAGCAACGCCGCGUGCGGGAUGACGGCCUUCGGGUUGUAACCCGCUUUCGCCUGUGACGAAGCGUGAGUGACGGUAAUGGGUAAAGAAGCACCGGCUAACUACGUG
RNAcentral lists this ribosomal RNA (468 nucleotides) under uncultured bacterium. RNAcentral's name for it is "partial 16S ribosomal RNA". It matches the Rfam family "Bacterial small subunit ribosomal RNA", at positions 28 to 507 of the family's 1533-position model. The record is from RNAcentral.